UAGGCGCACGGGUGAGUAACACGUGACUAACCUACCCUCGAGUGGGGAAUAACCUAGAGAAAUCUGGGCUAAUACCGCAUAACACUUACGAGUCAAAGCAGCAAUGCGCUUGAGGAGGGGGUCGCGGCAGAUUAGCUAGUUGGCGGGGUAAUGGCCCACCAAGGCGAUGAUCUGUAUCCGGCCUGAGAGGGCGCACGGACACACUGGAACUGAAACACGGUCCAG
Molecule: ribosomal RNA, 225 nt
Filed under: uncultured bacterium
Lineage: Bacteria
Description: partial 16S ribosomal RNA
Rfam family: Bacterial small subunit ribosomal RNA
Source: RNAcentral